AUUAAACGCUGGCGGCAUGCCUUACACAUGCAAGUCGAACGGUAGCGCGGGGCAACCUGGCGACGAGUGGCGAACGGGUGAGUAAAGCAUCGGAACGUGCCCUGGAAUGGGGGAUAACGUAGCGAAAGUUACGCUAAUACCGCAUAUUCUGUGAGCAGGAAAGCAGGGGAUCGCAAGACCUUGCGUUCUGGGAGCGGCCGAUGUCGGAUUAGCUAGUUGGUGGGGUAAAAGCCUACCAAGGCGACGAUCCGUAGCGGGUCUGAGAGGAUGAUCCGCCACACUGGGACUGAGACACGGCCCAGACUCCUACGGGAGGCAGCAGUGGGGAAUUUUGGACAAUGGGCGGAAGCCUGAUCCAGCCAUGCCGCGUGAGUGAAGAAGGCCUUCGGGUUGU
This 394-nucleotide ribosomal RNA is filed under the name uncultured bacterium. RNAcentral describes it as "bacterial SSU rRNA". It matches the Rfam family "Bacterial small subunit ribosomal RNA", at positions 29 to 426 of the family's 1533-position model. The record is from RNAcentral.